UGUACGAAAAGUUGCAUCCACUUCUGCAUAGGCCUCUUUAUUCAGACCAAACUCGGGCGGUAGCCCAUCCAAGUUCAAUUUUUAGUUGUGUGUGAAUAUACCUGCAGGCAAACACAUACAUAGAGACGUGAUACUAUGAGAUUACUCCCCUCCUGUAAACCACAACUAGGUAAAUACACACGUGACAUCAGUUAUAUGAUAUAUAUAUAUGUGUGUGUGUGUGUGUGUGUGUGUGUGUGUGUGUGUGUGUGUGUGUGUGUGUGUGUGUGUGUGUGUGUGUAUAUAUAUAUAUAUAUA
Molecule: long non-coding RNA, 297 nt
Organism: Scylla paramamosain (green mud crab)
Lineage: Eukaryota; Metazoa; Arthropoda; Malacostraca; Decapoda; Portunidae
Exons: 2
Source: RefSeq, a predicted model, not a curated record